UGAGUAACACGUAUCCAGCCUGCCGUCUACUCUUGGACAGCCUUCUGAAAGGAAGAUUAAUACAAGAUGGCAUCAUGAGUCCGCAUGUUCACAUGAUUAAAGGUAUUCCGGUAGACGAUGGGGAUGCGUUCCAUUAGAUAGUAGGCGGGGUAACGGCCCACCUAGUCUUCGAUGGAUAGGGGUUCUGAGAGGAAGGUCCCCCACAUUGGAACUGAGACACGGUCCAA
Molecule: ribosomal RNA, 227 nt
Filed under: uncultured bacterium
Lineage: Bacteria
Description: partial 16S ribosomal RNA
Rfam family: Bacterial small subunit ribosomal RNA
Source: RNAcentral